GAUGAACGCUGGCGGCGUGCCUAAUACAUGCAAGUCGAGCGAACAGACGAGGAGCUUGCUCCCCUGACGUUAGCGGCGGACGGGUGAGUAACACGUGGAUAACCUACCUAUAAGACUGGGAUAACUUCGGGAAACCGGAGCUAAUACCGGAUAACAUGUUGAACCGCAUGGUUCAACAGUGAAAGACGGUUUUGCUGUCACUUAUGGAUGGAUCCGCGUCGCAUUAGCUAGUUGGUAAGGUAACGGCUUACCAAGGCAACGAUGCGUAGCCGACCUGAGAGGGUGAUCGGCCACACUGGAACUGAGACACGGUCCAGACUCCUACGGGAGGCAGCAGUAGGGAAUCUUCCGCAAUGGGCGAAAGCCUGACGGAGCAACGCCGCGUGAGUGAAGAAGGUCUUCGGAUCGUAAAACUCUGUUAUUAGGGAAGAACAAAUGUGUAAGUAACUAUGCACGUCUUGACGGUACCUAAUCAGAAAGCCACGGCUAACUACGUG
RNAcentral lists this ribosomal RNA (497 nucleotides) under uncultured bacterium. Its description in RNAcentral is "partial 16S ribosomal RNA". It matches the Rfam family "Bacterial small subunit ribosomal RNA", at positions 28 to 507 of the family's 1533-position model. The record is from RNAcentral.